GAGGACUGUAGUGGAUAAGCUGU
RNAcentral lists this non-coding RNA (23 nucleotides) under Cricetulus griseus (Chinese hamster). Lineage: Eukaryota; Metazoa; Chordata; Mammalia; Rodentia; Cricetidae. The record is from RNAcentral.